This 497-nucleotide ribosomal RNA is filed under the name uncultured bacterium. RNAcentral describes it as "partial 16S ribosomal RNA". It matches the Rfam family "Bacterial small subunit ribosomal RNA", at positions 28 to 507 of the family's 1533-position model. The record is from RNAcentral.
GAUGAACGCUGGCGGCGUGCCUAAUACAUGCAAGUCGAGCGAACGGACGAGAAGCUUGCUUCUCUGAUGUUAGCGGCGGACGGGUGAGUAACACGUGGAUAACCUACCUAUAAGACUGGGAUAACUUCGGGAAACCGUAGCUAAUACCGGAUAAUAUUUUGAACCGCAUGGUUCAAAAGUGAAAGACGGUCUUGCUGUCACUUAUAGAUGGAUCCGCGCUGCAUUAGCUAGUUGGUAAGGUAACGGCUUACCAAGGCAACGAUGCAUAGCCGACCUGAGAGGGUGAUAGGCCACCCGGGAACUGGAACACGGUCCAGACUCCUACGGGAGGGAGCAGUAGGGAAUCUUCCGCAAUGGGCGAAAGCCUGACGGAGCAACGCCGAGUGAGUGAUGGAGGUCUUCCGAUCGUAAAACUCUGUUAUUAGGGAAGAACAUAUAUGUAAGUAACUGUGCACAUCUUGACGGUACCGAAUCAGAAAGCCACGGCUAACUACGUG